Molecule: ribosomal RNA, 468 nt
Filed under: uncultured bacterium
Lineage: Bacteria
Description: partial 16S ribosomal RNA
Rfam family: Bacterial small subunit ribosomal RNA
Source: RNAcentral
GACGAACGCUGGCGGCGUGCUUAACACAUGCAAGUCGAACGGAAAGGCCCUGCUUUUGGGGGGUGCUCGAGUGGCGAACGGGUGAGUAACACGUGAGUAACCUGCCCUUGACUUUGGUAUAACUUCAGGAAACUGGGGCUAAUACCGGAUAGGAGCUCCUGCUGCAUGGGGGGGGUUGGAAAGUUUCGGCGGUUGGGGAUGGACGCGCGGUUUAUCAGCUUGUUGGUGGGGUAGUGGCUUACCAAGGCUUUGGCGGGUAGCCGGCCUGAGAGGGUGCCCGGCCACAUUGGGACUGAGAUACGGCCCAGACUCCUACGGGAGACAGAAGUGGGGAAUAUUGCACAAUGGGCGGAAGCCUGAUGCAGCCGCGCCGCGUGCGGGAUGACGGCCUUCGGGUUGUAAACCGCUUUCGCCUGUGACGAAGCGUGAGUGACGGUAAUGGGUAAAGAAGCACCGGCUAACUACGUG